ACUGGGAUUUUGUAUAUGAUUUUGGGGGGUAGGUAGGGAGUCCCAGUUAUGAAUGAAGGAGACUUGCCAAGGGCAGUGAUGAAGCCUUCGGGUUGGGACACUGGGUACUUCUUUCACCCAGCUAAUGUAUGCCUCUGUGCUGUAUGCAUACCCACUGUGGAGAUGGGGAAGGACUAAAACUUUUAGUCCUGUGAGUAUGAAACAACUGAGAGCUGCUGAUCCAGCCCUUCCGGAUUAAAUAGCAAAGCAUCACACCAAUUCCUUGAAUUGGUUUUCAAGGAAAUCACAAUAUUGUGCAUUACAGACUCAAAGUUUACUCUUUUGCCCACUUCAGUGAGGGUAACUAGAUAUUUUUCUCAGAAAUAUAGACAGGGAACACUUUAAUGGUUUUUCUGAAGGUGAAAGCGCAAAGUAGCAUAUUCUAAGUGAAAACAGAUUAGGCCAUCUUCCUAACAUCUAGCUUUGUGAUAGGGAAAACCAGAGAAGAGUCUAUUUCUUGCACUGUCAUUUCAGCAGCACAUUUGGUGGAGUCAUAACCACAGUGAAACAUUUUUGUGAAAUAAAUGCCUAUAUCCUCUGUGAAUGUGAUUCCAUCUCUGAUUAGUACAAAUGGUCUAUGGGGAAAAGAAGACAAACCAUUUCCAUCUUUCAUGUUGUAUGCAAUCAAUAGCCACUAAGCAUAUGUAACAUCCGUGGAGCACCAGUUUCAGACUCUCCUCUACCCACUCCCUCCACACACACACCCCAAAAAACCUAUGGUAAGUAGCUGUUAAAGACUAUAUGGAAUCAUUCAUUUAAAAACACAAUAUUUUUCCUACAAAGACAUACUUUAUAAACUGCAGAACUUAGACAUCCAGAGGUGCUUAGACUCUUAAAUUGUUAAAAAAAAGAAUGUGGAAAAGAGAGAAAGAGUUAAGAUGAGAAACACAGAUGGAGAAAUAGAGUUAAGAUGCAGGGGAAUAUAUUCAAAGGUAAGAUUAAAAAGAAUAGAGAUGGGAGAACUAUGUAAAUAAAAAAUUGACAUGAGCACUGGUGACCUAGCCUGAUGAGAGAAACAUUUGAAUUACUUCAUAAACCAGAGCUUUUAGCCCAUUCCCAGGGACUCCCAUCUCUCUGCAUUCUUUCCAGCAAAAUGCAUAACUUAAGGCAACAUUUACAGGAUCCUCAUGAAAAAGUUACCUUUAACUAUUGUUCCAUUUCCAUCACUUUAGCAAGUCAAGCAGCUUCCAGCCAUGAUUUUUUGCUCAAUGUUGGAAUUUUUCAGUGUGAAAUCACUUAUGAAAACAUGGGAAUUCUGCCAAAAGAGAAUGGCAGAAGAUUCAAAAAGACAUUUCUGAAUUUCCAUGAGCAGAGGACCCCUGGAUCCUCCUGGGAAACUUAAAUGACCCUUGGGGACUGAAAAUGAAGUACCCCAAAACUCCUGUUGUGAUGGGGAACUGCUCUCUUGGUGGGCAGCAAAGAGGCCACAUUCUCACCUCCUACAUUGAAAAUCAAAGUUAGUGAAAGACGUGAAUUGUAGCAUCUACUCACAAAUCAAAACACAAACCUGGUGAUUCAAACUUGCUCCUUCGCUCAACUAAUAGUCAAUUUCUUAUAUAAUUACUAUCUCUGGCUCCUAAAGAGCAAUUUAGCCUCUCAUUCCUUUUCUAGAAUGCAAUUGGAUUUUUCUGAGGCUAAAAUUCCCAUUCUUUAAAGCAUCAAUAAAUGGUAAAAUACUUCUCUCCAUUUCUAAAGUGAAGAAAUCUGCAGAUGGACUUACUGCCUGGCUCAGACUCAGCUCAAAUUAGGGGGAGAUUGCAGAGGAGAAAAUCAAGCUUCAUUUGUCAUGGUUUUAUUUUAGUUGGCUUAUUAGACCCAUAAUAAUCACUUCUAGGUCAUAAUGUUAUUUGCAACACAAAACCUAGCUGGUUUCUUUCCCAUGAAUGGUAAUUAUUCUACCUUUUAAGGGCCUGAUAUGAACUUUAAAGAGGUUUACCAUCCAAUUAUCUCUCUUGCAAGGAUUUGGGGAUUAUUCAAAAGAACAAAAGGUGUGUUCUCAUUUAUUACAGCAAGGUCCUUAGGUUGCAGCUGAUUCUCCUAAAGAAGGCUAAGGCUAUUUGAUACUAACCGAAUCACAAGAUCACGUGAGUGGAGGACAUCAGAUUUUGCAGUGUCAUGCUGAGCCACAUCUGACUAUAGAUAAAAUGAAGGUUCCUGUGGCCAGGAUUCUCGCCUGACCCUGGUUGGCUAGCUCACUACACACCUGUGGGCAAUAUGUUGCUAUUGACUCUACAUAAAGAACUCUGACCAGUGCUCUGGGCAAUAUGGUGGUGGCAGGGCUGCAAGGCUGCAGGAGAGCAGAGCAGAAGCUGUAGUGGUGGCAGCGCCCAGGACAGGGGCCUAGAGGACGGCUGUGGGGGCAGAGAGGCCCAGAGGCAGAGACUGGCUUGCUGCAUGCAGACUCGCUCUGAGUGAACGAGAUUUUAGUGAUUGACCUGCCACUGUGGAAAUAAAGUUGAAUAUAACUCUUUCACCCCAAGUAUGUUUUACUGUCAUUUUCUUUGGUCACAUCAAACCCAUAGCGAACUUGCCCAGGGCUGAAACCCAUUGGCAAGACAUGC
Long non-coding RNA from Manis pentadactyla (Chinese pangolin), 2600 nucleotides. RefSeq lists it as uncharacterized. The transcript is spliced from 2 exons. Lineage: Eukaryota; Metazoa; Chordata; Mammalia; Pholidota; Manidae. The record is from RefSeq and is a predicted model, not a curated record.